UAUUUGGCUACAUGUUUUGAUUUCCUUUGUACGACUUGCAGUUGAUUCAAGGAACGUAGAGGACGACAGGAGCCAUACGACGUAAAACCGAGUCUUAAUACCAAGACAGACAGACCAAGUACGCUGGGAGAUUCUCGGAUGACGCUAACUCUCGGUUGUCUUUGACUGAAAACAUGUGCACCAGAGAAAAAAUGCCAAGCUUCUGUGUUGAUUUGGAUCCUGGCAAGCGAAAGCCAAAUGAACCAACGGUACCAUUGUCAUCCAAACAAAAGACAAUUCUUCCUCAUAUUUUGUGACCUCACUGGGAACGUGCUUGUCCAGGAAGGUGUCAAUAAGUUUGUCUAUAGUAGAACAAACACUUGCUGCCAGAUUGACCAGAGGAGCUGAGCACAUUCUUGCCAGGAACAGACAACAAUAGUACCUUUUUCAGAGGAGGGCAAAAAAAGUGAAAAAAAAAAUGAUCAUAUGAAUACCCAUUGUAUUAAAAUGAAUGUAAAUUAACCUUGUAAUCCCACACUAUGACACUAUGAAGUUAUGAAGCUGCAGAUAUUGUUGAUUGUGAUGACAAUGAACAAGAGGCAAAGAAAGAGGAAGGGAGAAUUUGAAGGAAGAGGAGGAUAAAAGGAAAAAAAAAAGACACUAGGAAUAAGGAUAUGGGUGAGAAUGGCAAAGGGUUUAGAAAUGAUGAUGAUGAAAAGAUGACUAAAUAAGAAAGAAUGAUGAGGAUGAAGAUGAGCUCAACAAUCUAUGAAGGAUAUGGAUAUAUAGAUGAGGGAUUAAUGGUACUUUGCAAAACAGUUCUUCAACUGGGGAUAAGGAUAUGGGUGAGAAUGGCAAAGGGUUUAGAAAUGAUGAUGAUGAAAAGAUGACUAAAUAAGAAAGAAGGAUGAGGAUGAAGAUGAGCUCAACAAUCUAUGAAGGAUAUGGAUAUAGAUGGGGGUUUAUGACAGCAUA
Molecule: long non-coding RNA, 954 nt
Organism: Pocillopora verrucosa
Lineage: Eukaryota; Metazoa; Cnidaria; Anthozoa; Scleractinia; Pocilloporidae
Source: RefSeq, a predicted model, not a curated record